This 2906-nucleotide ribosomal RNA is filed under the name Escherichia coli. RNAcentral describes it as "23S ribosomal RNA". It matches the Rfam family "Bacterial large subunit ribosomal RNA". The record is from RNAcentral. Lineage: Bacteria; Pseudomonadati; Pseudomonadota; Gammaproteobacteria; Enterobacterales; Enterobacteriaceae.
GGUUAAGCGACUAAGCGUACACGGUGGAUGCCCUGGCAGUCAGAGGCGAUGAAGGACGUGCUAAUCUGCGAUAAGCGUCGGUAAGGUGAUAUGAACCGUUAUAACCGGCGAUUUCCGAAUGGGGAAACCCAGUGUGAUUCGUCACACUAUCAUUAACUGAAUCCAUAGGUUAAUGAGGCGAACCGGGGGAACUGAAACAUCUAAGUACCCCGAGGAAAAGAAAUCAACCGAGAUUCCCCCAGUAGCGGCGAGCGAACGGGGAGCAGCCCAGAGCCUGAAUCAGUGUGUGUGUUAGUGGAAGCGUCUGGAAAGGCGCGCGAUACAGGGUGACAGCCCCGUACACAAAAAUGCACAUACUGUGAGCUCGAUGAGUAGGGCGGGACACGUGGUAUCCUGUCUGAAUAUGGGGGGACCAUCCUCCAAGGCUAAAUACUCCUGACUGACCGAUAGUGAACCAGUACCGUGAGGGAAAGGCGAAAAGAACCCCGGCGAGGGGAGUGAAAAAGAACCUGAAACCGUGUACGUACAAGCAGUGGGAGCACAGAGCAAUCUGUGUGACUGCGUACCUUUUGUAUAAUGGGUCAGCGACUUAUAUUCUGUAGCAAGGUUAACCGAAUAGGGGAGCCGAAGGGAAACCGAGUCUUAACUGGGCGUUAAGUUGCAGGGUAUAGACCCGAAACCCGGUGAUCUAGCCAUGGGCAGGUUGAAGGUUGGGUAACACUAACUGGAGGACCGAACCGACUAAUGUUGAAAAAUUAGCGGAUGACUUGUGGCUGGGGGUGAAAGGCCAAUCAAACCGGGAGAUAGCUGGUUCUCCCCGAAAGCUAUUUAGGUAGCGCCUCGUGAAUUCAUCUCCGGGGGUAGAGCACUGUUUCGGCAAGGGGGUCAUCCCGACUUACCAACCCGAUGCAAACUGCGAAUACCGGAGAAUGUUAUCACGGGAGACACACGGCGGGUGCUAACGUCCGUCGUGAAGAGGGAAACAACCCAGACCGCCAGCUAAGGUCCCAAAGUCAUGGUUAAGUGGGAAACGAUGUGGGAAGGCCCAGACAGCCAGGAUGUUGGCUUAGAAGCAGCCAUCAUUUAAAGAAAGCGUAAUAGCUCACUGGUCGAGUCGGCCUGCGCGGAAGAUGUAACGGGGCUAAACCAUGCACCGAAGCUGCGGCAGCGACGCUGAUGCGUUGUUGGGUAGGGGAGCGUUCUGUAAGCCUGCGAAGGUGUGCUGUGAGGCAUGCUGGAGGUAUCAGAAGUGCGAAUGCUGACAUAAGUAACGAUAAAGCGGGUGAAAAGCCCGCUCGCCGGAAGACCAAGGGUUCCUGUCCAACGUUAAUCGGGGCAGGGUGAGUCGACCCCUAAGGCGAGGCCGAAAGGCGUAGUCGAUGGGAAACAGGUUAAUAUUCCUGUACUUGGUGUUACUGCGAAGGGGGGACGGAGAAGGCUAUGUUGGCCGGGCGACGGUUGUCCCGGUUUAAGCGUGUAGGCUGGUUUUCCAGGCAAAUCCGGAAAAUCAAGGCUGAGGCGUGAUGACGAGGCACUACGGUGCUGAAGCAACAAAUGCCCUGCUUCCAGGAAAAGCCUCUAAGCAUCAGGUAACAUCAAAUCGUACCCCAAACCGACACAGGUGGUCAGGUAGAGAAUACCAAGGCGCUUGAGAGAACUCGGGUGAAGGAACUAGGCAAAAUGGUGCCGUAACUUCGGGAGAAGGCACGCUGAUAUGUAGGUGAAGUCCCUCGCGGAUGGAGCUGAAAUCAGUCGAAGAUACCAGCUGGCUGCAACUGUUUAUUAAAAACACAGCACUGUGCAAACACGAAAGUGGACGUAUACGGUGUGACGCCUGCCCGGUGCCGGAAGGUUAAUUGAUGGGGUCAGCGCAAGCGAAGCUCUUGAUCGAAGCCCCGGUAAACGGCGGCCGUAACUAUAACGGUCCUAAGGUAGCGAAAUUCCUUGUCGGGUAAGUUCCGACCUGCACGAAUGGCGUAAUGAUGGCCAGGCUGUCUCCACCCGAGACUCAGUGAAAUUGAACUCGCUGUGAAGAUGCAGUGUACCCGCGGCAAGACGGAAAGACCCCGUGAACCUUUACUAUAGCUUGACACUGAACAUUGAGCCUUGAUGUGUAGGAUAGGUGGGAGGCUUUGAAGUGUGGACGCCAGUCUGCAUGGAGCCGACCUUGAAAUACCACCCUUUAAUGUUUGAUGUUCUAACGUUGACCCGUAAUCCGGGUUGCGGACAGUGUCUGGUGGGUAGUUUGACUGGGGCGGUCUCCUCCUAAAGAGUAACGGAGGAGCACGAAGGUUGGCUAAUCCUGGUCGGACAUCAGGAGGUUAGUGCAAUGGCAUAAGCCAGCUUGACUGCGAGCGUGACGGCGCGAGCAGGUGCGAAAGCAGGUCAUAGUGAUCCGGUGGUUCUGAAUGGAAGGGCCAUCGCUCAACGGAUAAAAGGUACUCCGGGGAUAACAGGCUGAUACCGCCCAAGAGUUCAUAUCGACGGCGGUGUUUGGCACCUCGAUGUCGGCUCAUCACAUCCUGGGGCUGAAGUAGGUCCCAAGGGUAUGGCUGUUCGCCAUUUAAAGUGGUACGCGAGCUGGGUUUAGAACGUCGUGAGACAGUUCGGUCCCUAUCUGCCGUGGGCGCUGGAGAACUGAGGGGGGCUGCUCCUAGUACGAGAGGACCGGAGUGGACGCAUCACUGGUGUUCGGGUUGUCAUGCCAAUGGCACUGCCCGGUAGCUAAAUGCGGAAGAGAUAAGUGCUGAAAGCAUCUAAGCACGAAACUUGCCCCGAGAUGAGUUCUCCCUGACUCCUUGAGAGUCCUGAAGGAACGUUGAAGACGACGACGUUGAUAGGCCGGAUGUGUAAGCGCAGCGAUGCGUUGAGCUAACCGGUACUAAUGAACCGUGAGGCUUAACCUU